Molecule: long non-coding RNA, 307 nt
Organism: Pipra filicauda (Wire-tailed manakin)
Lineage: Eukaryota; Metazoa; Chordata; Aves; Passeriformes; Pipridae
Exons: 3
Source: RefSeq, a predicted model, not a curated record
UGGGCUCUCCAGGCCAUCCAGCCCCUCUGCACUGUGCUCUGCUCACUCAAACAAGCUGCAAGUGCUGGGCAAGCUCAGUCCAGCCAGGAGCUGAGCAAGAGAUCAGGGGAGUGGGGAGCAGACUGAAGACCUGCCAACUCCUCCCAAACCUCCCUUCCUGCAGCCAACCUGCAGGGAAUCCUUCCUGCCCUCCUGUUGAUUUUCUGUACAUGUGCUGGCAUCCAGGCUGGAGAGAGAAGAGAGUGAGACCUUGGUGAAUGAGGUGGAGGAGAUGAGUGGAAGAGCUCACCUGGGAUCAGAGGACACC